Molecule: ribosomal RNA, 253 nt
Filed under: uncultured bacterium
Lineage: Bacteria
Description: partial 16S ribosomal RNA
Rfam family: Bacterial small subunit ribosomal RNA
Source: RNAcentral
UACAGAGGGUGCAAGCGUUAAUCGGAAUUACUGGGCGUAAAGCGCGUGUAGGCGGCUUAUUGCGUCGCUCGUGAAAUCCCUGGGCUUAACCUGGGAAUGGCGGGCGAUACGGAUAGGCUUGAGUCGGGCAGAGGGUGGCGGAAUUUCCGGUGUAGCGGUGAAAUGCGUAGAUAUCGGAAAGAACACCAAUGGCGAAGGCAGCCACCUGGGCCCAAACUGACGCUGAGGCGCGAAAGCGUGGGGAGCAAACAGG